RNAcentral lists this long non-coding RNA (441 nucleotides) under Hordeum vulgare. Its description in RNAcentral is "long non-coding RNA (HVUL_LNC019371)". The record is from RNAcentral. Lineage: Eukaryota; Viridiplantae; Streptophyta; Magnoliopsida; Poales; Poaceae.
GGACAUGACAAACACUUCUUCCAUGCCAUCGAUGGCGGGGUGGACGACGCCUGAUCCAUGCUCUGAGAUCUCUAUCCAGUGGCACAACUGCUUCAAUUUUUUUAAAUCAUGGAAGGUAGCAUCAUGGAGGUGUAGUUCGUAGUCAUGUAAGCUAGCUUCUCGUGCGUCUCUUUCCAAGAAUCCAUCCACCAAGUUGGCUGCUAGAUAGUUUGCCGGAUAGUACUAGUCUAAUCUUGUUUUUCUAUGUCUAAGUAUGAUGUCUCUAGCCAUCUAAUUGAUUCUUGAUUAUUUUCAUCCAUCAAGAUUCCCCAAGGCAUCAAACUAAUCACAAAAUGUCUCUUUUGAAGUCGUGAACUUUCUCUUGAAAUCCUUUUUAAUAAAACAAUUAUGCAUAAAUAGUGUAAUAACUAGUUUCAAGUAGGAUACUUGAGUAUGUAAAAU